RNAcentral lists this ribosomal RNA (289 nucleotides) under uncultured bacterium. RNAcentral's name for it is "partial 16S ribosomal RNA". It matches the Rfam family "Bacterial small subunit ribosomal RNA", at positions 230 to 507 of the family's 1533-position model. The record is from RNAcentral.
CCGAUAUCAGAUUAGGUAGUUGGUGAGGUAAAGACUCACCAAGCCGACGAUCUGUAGCUGGUCUGAGAGGACGACCAGCCACACUGGGACUGAGACACGGCCCCAGACUCCUACGGGAGGCAGCAGUGGGGAAUUUUGGACAAUGGGCGCAAGCCUGAUCCAGCCAAUGCCGGCGUGCAGGAUGAAGGCCUUCGGGUUGUAAACUGCUUUUGUACGGAACGAAACGGUGAGUCUCUAAUACAGUUUGCUAAUGACGGUACCGUAAGAAUAAGCACCGGCUAACUACGUG